AGAUAUGAUAAUAAAGAUUGUGCUAUCAAUAUCAAAAAUAGUCUAGCCUAGCUCAAUUUAAUUGAUAAGAGUAGCAAUAUUAUAUUUUGUAAAGUUUGCUUGAAAAUAUAUUGGAUAUUUGGAUAUGGAAGGUAAAAUAGAAUUUGCAACAACAAGGUCCUAAUAACUCUAAUAGAAUACUAAAUUAAUUCUAAUUAAAUCUUACAAUGCUAAUCAAUCUUGAAUCAAAUCUAAAAGAAGUCUUAAAAAAAUUACAAAAAAAAAAAUCAUAAAUUAACCUUAAGAAAAUAUGUAUAAUAAAAAAGUUCUAAAAAAAUAUUAAAAAUAAAACCCUAAACCAACCUUAACUUAUUUCUAAUAUAACUAUAAAAAAAUUCUGAUGAAAUCCUAAUAUAUU
This 397-nucleotide long non-coding RNA is filed under the name Physcomitrium patens. RNAcentral's name for it is "long non-coding RNA (PPAT_LNC004077)". The record is from RNAcentral. Lineage: Eukaryota; Viridiplantae; Streptophyta; Bryopsida; Funariales; Funariaceae.